Molecule: long non-coding RNA, 7818 nt
Filed under: Malus domestica (apple)
Lineage: Eukaryota; Viridiplantae; Streptophyta; Magnoliopsida; Rosales; Rosaceae
Description: long non-coding RNA (MDOM_LNC000855)
Source: RNAcentral
UCUCUCAUCUCCUCAGUCACUCUCUCUCUCUCUUCCUCAGCUCUUCCUCAGAAACUCUCACUCUCUCUCUUCUUCUCGAACGCACGGGCAACCACCAAAACCACCUAAAACCUAUACCAACGUCCAAGUUAAGACUACCAUUGCAACCCUGAGGACUCCACGAUCACGUAGACACCAUUUUCAGGUAAGUUUUGCUUCGGAAAACCCUAGUUUUUAAGGUCCCGUGUUUAUAUACUGUUCAUGAUCUUUUAAAUGGUUACGAUUUAGGCUAAAACAAGAUCACAGCGAGCUUAUUGAGGUCCCAAGGAAGCUCGGAGUGCUUCGUUGGAAGUUUUUGGACGUAAGAACACGGAGAUCGACAAGUUCAAAGUUUGGCCGGAGCUUUCGAGGCGUUUUCCGGCGAAUCCCCGGCGAGUUAGGAGUCGAGGUAGGUAUCAAUCUCUUUUUCUCGUCAAGUACUACAACUUUCCUUUUUGUUUCACUCAAUUUAGUUGAGUAUUGAAGAAGUUAUACUCAUUUGAAAAAUACCCAGUUUCCGGCGACCUCCGAGGCUUUCGAGACAGUUUCCGGCCAAACAACGGCGAACUAGGUGUUGUGCAAGGUACCAUUAUCUUUUUCUCUUCAAGGGCUACAACUUUCGUUUUUGAAUCACUUGAUUUCGUUGAGAAAUGACAAAGUUAUGGCAAUUUGAAAAACUGCCCAGAAAACGGCCGCCGGAAAAACCAGUCCGGCGACCCAAGGAAGAAGAAGGUGCUACAGUAAAAAUAAAAAAUAAAAUUAUUUUAAAAAUAUGUCGACGUCCGUGACGUCGAGUAGAUCACUGUGGUAUUCAUAUACCUAAAUUGAACACCGUAUGAGAAAGUUAUUGAAGAUUGUUGGUUAGGUGUUCAAAUAACGUUUUAUAGUUUUCACAUUUAGGUGAAAAUGUGAAUUGAUGAUCCGACCGUUGGAUCGUCACCAAACUUUGAUACGUUGUAAUACGUAAUAUUUGAGGAUUAUUGGAACUUACGGAUUGGGAAUCCGAGUUAGGGAUCUUCCGGAAUUGGAAUUGUAAGUUCAUAAUAUAAAAUGUUAACCGUCACUUAGUUUUGGAAAUUGACGGAGAUCCGACCGUUGGAUGGUAAUGAAAUUUUAGGAUGUUAUCCUAGAGAUAUAUUGUGGACCUCUGGAAGUUAUGGAUGGAUUUAAAAUCUGAGUGGCAGAUCUUCCGGAUCGAACUACGUAGUGACGUAUUUUAUAUAAGUUAUAUAUUCUAUCGAUAUGAAUUCUGAGGUUGGAUUUGAUUACUAUUCUAGGCGGCGAUCGUCGUGACGCCUUGAUGUGUGGUGCUAGGGAGUUGUUGGACGAACUCCAGGUGAGUGGGCAGUUUUGUUUUCCGUAUAUAUAUAUAUACUUAACGUUUUUCCCAGAAAUUGAAAAUGCAUGAAAUUAUGUUUAAAAUGAAAUGCAUAUGAGUUAUGUGGAAAAACGGGAAGUGAAAUACCAUGCAUAGAAUUGAUAUGAAAAGUAUAUAGAAAUGUGAGUUGAAAUGCCAUGCAUGAAUUAAUAUAUGAUGCAUAUGUAUGAAUUUGGUGCGGUGGACGCACAGGUAAGAAUUGAUUUAUGAUGCAUAUGUAUGAAAUGGUGCGGUGGACGCACAGAUGAGUAUUUAAUUACUGUUAUGAUGAUGAUGAUAUAUAUUGAGCUCAAAUCCUGCACCAUGGUUUAGUGCUUAUAGUAUUCACCGCAUCGCACGCUCGCCUUGGAUCCAAGUAGAUGCUAGUCGUACAGUCCACGCGGAGUGGGUACGACAGACCAGUCGCGAGAGUGUUAGUGAGAUUCCGACUGGUGGGUGACCUUAGAUUAUGUGCACAGAUGAUUUAUGAGAAGCACUAGAGCGUAACUUGUGUGUAGAAGGCCGGACGGGUCACAGAGGUGACUCCGGUAGAGUGAUAAUGAUAGAUUUUGAGCUCUAGGUUCAACCGUAUAGGGCUAUUAGAGGGCCUACGGUUGAUUACUUUCUUGCACCUGAUAUGAUUAUGUUGAUGCAUUCAUACCUUAUUACUGUUGAGAUGAUGUGGCAUGGCAUAAUUAAUAUGAGAAAUGUUGAGAUGACAUGGCAUGGCAUGAUUGAUAAAGAGAUAAUGUUGAGAUAGUAAAAAUGAAGUUUUGAGAAUAUAUAUGUAUAUUUAUAUUUUACAUUUCUGGGAAAGUAUACAGGUUUUACGGAGAGGGGUUACAACGUUUUGAGAAAUGUUUGGAUUUGGAAAAGAAUUGUUUUACUGACCCACUCAAUUUUGGUUUUGCGCCCCUCCAGGUUCAGGAAUCACAAAGGUGUGGUGACUACGAGGAAUUCGACCGGACGGUUUGUUCUGACAGAUUGGACAAAAUUAGGACUCACCUUCGGGUGUAUCAAUUUAAAUUGUAUCUUAAAGCUUCCGUACUGUGCAAAUGGUUACGUCACUCUCACGUGACGGCCAGCAUGUCCUCCUUCGGGACGGGGUGUGUCAGUUGGUAUCAGAGCAUGGUUGCAAUCUUGGACAUCUUGAGAAGUUUCUAGUGAAUUCUGUCAGAACUACACCGCCUCGUAGCAAGCCACUUAGUUAGAGGAAUUUAGUCUCCCUAAUAUAGCGGUUUAGGGGAAACUAUUAUUAUGGUGAUUCAGUCUAUUAUAAAAAGGGACAUUUUAAGACGGGUUAUGAGUUGAAUUUGAAUCACCUUAUGAAAUGAUGAACCUGAGGGAACGAAGUAACGGUUUAACCAUUUGGAAAAGAUGUUUCAGAUUAUGCAAGUCAAAGGAAAUUUCCUUCUGACAGGGGGUCGAGACGACUACCUAGUUUUGGGUAUGAAUUUGUAUCCUGGUGGAAACAGGAGUAUGAUGUGUUGUCACCGGAGGAACAGCUGAUUUAAAAUUGUUUAAGGACUUGUUUAAGGAAAAGUUUAUCCCUCCGGCAUUUAUCGAUGGUAGUAAACAAGAGUUUACAAAUAUGAGACAAGGAAGGUGAUGAUCGAGGGAUAUUAUAGAAAGUUUUCAGACUUGCCUCGUUCCAUCCAGAUAUGGUUGUUAAUUUGGUGGAGGUGUUAUGUUGUUUUAAGCUGGGUGGCAAAAAGGGAAGUGGUAUUUUGGGUGACCACUAUCCAUUAUACUUCUUACCAGGAAUAUACGAGAUGCUGUUGAGUCUUGAGGACUCUGAGAACAUGAUCAACGAGAAUAAAGAAGAAUAAGAAAUGAAUGGGAAUUAAAAGAAGACGAUAAAGUUAAUGAUUCGUCUUAUCAAGGAUAUAGAAAGAUUCAGAGCUUCGAAAGAAGUGAAGCUAGAGUUAAUUCUUCCAGCUGAGGUUUUAAUGUCGCUGGUCAGAGUAAAAGUGAUGGAUAUACUGGUAAUCCCAGAUAUUUGAGACAAGGUGUCUCGAGUAAAGGAAAUGUACUUUGUGCUGCAGGUACAAAAAUUAACACUUUGGGAAGUGUGAAAUUAAUGAAUGUGUUUAUGUGAACAGAGGGGACACAGAAUUGUGAAUCGUCCCUAGAAUCAGUUGUACCCAACAGUUUUCUAUGACAUCGUAGUGUCGAUUCAACAAGUUUAUGAACUUAGUAGUUUGGUCGGAUUGACCGUGGGUACAGAGAGAUUGAUGAGUUAUAUGUUCAGCUGUACAGACCAUGAGAGGUGGAUCUGGCUGACGCAUGAGAAAUUGGUGAGUUAUAGGCUCGGCCGUACCGACCACGCGGAGUGGAUCCGGCCGACGUAUUAUUGAGAUAAGAGUUGAAUCAACCGUAUUGGUCAUUCUAGUUGACUUCGGCUGAUAUAUUUCUUAUUAUGUAUGUUAUUACCUAGAGAGUAGUAAAUAAAUGUAGUAGAGACGAGUGUAUGUAUUUUGUAUUGAGUGACAAAAUAGUAAUGUUAUAUCUUUGAGAGUGGUUGCCUACUUAUCGAGACAACGAUGAUUUAUCAGUAUUGCGGGCUGCAGACCGUAAUAUUAAUAACUCAUUCGUGGAUUCGUUAAGUAAGUAAACCGGUAGAUUAUUUUGUACUUAUUCAGAAUGCUUAGUAGUAAUAGAGUAUGUAUUGUGUCGGUUAAAUUAUUUCCAUUAGAUUGGUUGGUUAUAAUUGUGACAAGACGGAAUGUUAAGGGAAACCAGUACUUUCCAUCGAUCUGGAUGACCAGAGAUUACUUUUGUAAGUAUGCAAAGUGGAUUGAGUUCAGCCAUUAUUUAUGCUGUGAGAGCAAGAGAUUGUUUUCGAAAGGCUGUCAAAAAUACUUAGCUCAUGUGGUGCUAAAUGAUGUUGUUUGGAGUAGUGUGAAUAAUGUCGAAAGAGUUAGACUUUUCUUGAUGUCUUCCCUGAAAGUAUACCUGGAUUGCCUUCGGGCAGAGAUAUGAGGUUCACUAUUGAAUUGUUGCCAGGUAUAAAUUUAUAUUGGAGAUUGGUUCAUAAUGAGUUAAGGGAAUUGGAAAUUUAGUUGAAAGAAUUGGUUGAUAAAAGUUUCAUUCAACCUAGUACAACACCUUUGAGGAGCACCAGUUUGUUGGUGAGAAAGAAAAUGGACUUAGAGAUUGUUCAUUGAUUAUAGACAAUGGAACUGGUAACGAUCGAGAACCGUUAUCCAUGAUAGUGUACUGAUGUUUAUUUAACCAGCUCAGAAGUAAUUGCGAAGAUUCAAAGAUUGAAUUGAGAUCUGGUUACUACCAAUUGAAUAUUAUAAGUGACGUUGAUCAUAAGAUGGUUUCUGGACUUGUUAUGGUCCUUAUAAAGUUUGGUGAUGCUAUGUGGAUACUCAUGCGGUUUUAUGAGUUGAUGGAUGAAGUAUUCCAAUAAUGCCUUGAUAAUUGAUAUCAUUUUCAUUGAAGAUAUUCUGGCAUAUUCUGAGCCAGAGCAGAGCAUGUAAACGUAUUAAGUCGGUAGAACAAAGAUUGGAAGAAUGUCGAUUGUAUGCUAAGUUUAGCAAAUGCGAAUGUUGGAUGAAUCAAGCAGCAUUUCUGGGAUAUGUUAUAUAUUCUUAAGGUAUUCAAGUGAAUCCUUAAAAGGUAACAGAAAUUAAAAUUUGGAACAACCACGAGUCGUAAUUGAGAUUUGGAAUUUCUUAGCUUACCAGGCUAUCUUGGAUGGUUGUGAAAGAUUUUUCAGUCAUUGCUUUGUCAUUGACGAGACUGUUGAGAAAAGAGGUUAGGUAUGAGUGGGAAGGAAUUGUAAGCAAAGGAUUCAACAACUGAAGUAUUUCCUCACUCAUGCACGUAUUUUGGUAUUCCCAGAGAAUAGUGGUAAUCAUAAAUUUUUUAGUGAUGUUUCUUGAAUGGUAUUGGAGGCAUGUUGAUGCAAAUGUUAGGGUGAUUGCAUACGUUUCACGAUAAAUGGAAUCUCAUAAGAUGAAUUACCCUACUGGUGAUUUGGAAGUCACGAUUACCAUUCUUGCUGUGAAGUUAUGGAGACAUUAUAUUUUAGUGGGAAUGCAAGAUUUUUUUUUACGAAUCCAAAAAGUCUUCAAUAUCCAUUACUUGGAAGGAAUUUGAUAUGAGGCAGCGAAAGUGAAUUGUAUUGCUUAAUGAACAUGAUUGUACGAUCAGGGUGAUCGUAAAGUUUGUUUUAGCUGAAGCACUUGGUGAGAAGACUACAGUAAGAUUAAUAUCUGGCACGUUUGCCAAGAGUAUCAUUUUGUGGAUUGAAAACCAACGGAAGAAAAAUUAAGAAUGGAAGAUCGAGAAGAAGUUAUACUUGUUAAGUAACAAGUUAGUACAUUUACCCCAUUGUUGAGUAACAACCUUUCCCAGACAGUGCAACACUACUUAUUUGUUUUAUGGAAAAGAGAAUUGGAUUACGGAACUGCUAAGUUUCUUAAGUAUGUUGGUUGUGCAGUUUCCGAAGUAACGCCAUAAGGACCAUGAAAUGUGUCACGUGAGUCGGUUUUUGAUGACUUGUGAAUGGAAUGUUUCUGGGUAGAGAAAGAUUCGAUCGAGAAAGAGUUUUAGUAGACCCUGAGACUAUGGAUGAGUCUCCUCAAAGUAUUCAGGUGAUUAAGUUAACCUGAAGUAACCAGGAAUGGCAAAAGAGAUCAACAGAUGGAUAUGCCACUAAUCAAGUGUGUAAGGUAAAUGGUUUGAUAUUUUUGGAAAAUUCACCACGAACAGAAAUGAAAAGAAUUGGAAAAGAGACAAGAUAAGAUUUAAACACAUCAGACCGUUUUGAUCAUUAAAAGAAUCAAUGAAGUUGCAUAUAAGUUUGUGAUGCCUUCAAAAAUUGGCUAAGGUGCAUAAUGCAUUAUAUUUCGAUGCGUUGUCACUAGGUGGCAGAUUCGUCACAUGGGAUUCUGGUGCAACUAUUUAGAAUUCAAUUGGAUUCGACUUGAUAAGGAACCAAGGACUACUUUGGAUUGGGAAAAGAAGGUCCUGAGAAUUAAGACAGAGUAAGUGGUAAAACCUUGUGAAGGAAAUCAUUCAGUAGAAAAUUAUGUGGGAGAAAGAGAAACGGAUGAGAGAGAUUUACCCGAAGCUAUUGUUGGAGUAUGGUUGAUUUAGUUGAUUGCUGGAAUUUCGGGGACGAAAUUCUAUAAGGAGGGAAGAUUGUCACAGCCCGUCCUGGAAUUUUAAUUCCGAGGACGUGAAAAGACGAAAAUGCCCUUAAACGGGAUUAAGGUGCGUAAUUUUGGUAUUGGUUUUACCUAAAAUUCCUAAGUUAUUGUUAAUUAAACUUAAACUUGGACUAAUAAUUUUGUGUUUGGACUUUAGGUAGGGUCCUACACCCUAAAUCCCUCCCAUUUCCCGUUUGUUGUCUCUCUCUCAUCUCCUCAGUCACUCUCUCUCUCUCUUCCUCAGCUCUUCCUCAGAAACUCUCACUCUCUCUCUUCUUCUCGAACGCACGGGCAACCACCAAAACCACCUAAAACCUAUACCAACGUCCAAGUUAAGACUACCAUUGCAACCCUGAGGACUCCACGAUCACGUAGACACCAUUUUCAGGUAAGUUUUGCUUCGGAAAACCCUAGUUUUUAAGGUCCCGUGUUUAUAUACUGUUCAUGAUCUUUUAAAUGGUUACGAUUUAGGCUAAAACAAGAUCACAGCGAGCUUAGUGAGGUCCCAAGGAAGCUCGGAGUGCUUCGUUGGAAGUUUUUGGACGUAAGAACACGGAGAUCGACAAGUUCAAAGUUUGGCCGGAGCUUUCGAGGCGUUUUCCGGCGAAUCCCCGGCGAGUUAGGAGUCGAGGUAGGUAUCAAUCUCUUUGUCUCGUCAAGUACUACAACUUUCCUUUUUGUUUCACUCAAUUUCGUUGAGUAUUGAAGAAGUUAUACUCAUUUGAAAAAUACCCAGUUUCCGGCGACCUCCGAGGCUUUCGAGACAGUUUCCGGCCAAACCACGGCGAACUAGGUGUUGUGCAAGGUACCAUUAUCUUUUUCUCUUCAAGGGCUACAACUUUCGUUUUUGAAUCACUUGAUUUCGUUGAGAAAUGACAAAGUUAUGGCAAUUUUGAAAAACUGCCCAGAAAACGGCCGCCGGAAAAACCAGUCCGGCGACCCAAGGAAGAAGAAGGUGCUACAGUAAAAAUAAAAAAUAAAAUUAUUUUAAAAAUAUGUCGACGUCCGUGACGUCGAGUAGAUCACUGUGGUAUAUUCAUAUACCUAAAUUGAACACCGUAUGAGAAAGUUAUUGAAGAUUGUUGGUUAGGUGUUCAAAUAACGUUUUAUAGUUUUCACAUUUAGGUGAAAAUGUGAAUUGAUGAUCCGACCGUUGGAUCGUCACCAAACUUUGAUACGUUGUAAUACGUAAUAUUUGAGGAUUAUUGGAACUUACGGAUUGGGAAUCCGAGUUAGGGAUCUUCCGGAAUUGGAAUUGUAAGUUCAUAAUAUAAAAUG